AGUGAACGCUGGCGGUAGGCCUAACACAUGCAAGUCGAACGGCAGCACAGUAAGAGCUUGCCCUUACGGGUGGCGAGUGGCGGACGGGUGAGGAAUACAUCGGAAUCUACUUUUUCGUGGGGGAUAACGUAGGGAAACUUACGCUAAUACCGCAUACGACCUACGGGUGAAAGCAGGGGAUCUUCGGACCCUGCGCGAUUGAAUGAGCCGAUGUCGGAUUAGCUAGUUGGCGGGGUAAAGGCCCACCAAGGCGACGAUCCGUAGCUGGUCUGAGAGGAUGAUCAGCCACACUGGAACUGAGACACGGUCCAGACUCCUACGGGAGGCAGCAGUGGGGAAUAUUGGACAAUGGGCGCAAGCCUGAUCCAGCCAUACCGCGUGGGUGAAGAAGGCCUUCGGGUUGUAAAGCCCUUUUGUUGGGAAAGAAAAGCAGCAGGUUAAUACCCCGCUGUUCUGACGGUACCCAAAGAAUAAGCACCGGCUAACUUCGUG
Molecule: ribosomal RNA, 492 nt
Filed under: uncultured bacterium
Lineage: Bacteria
Description: partial 16S ribosomal RNA
Rfam family: Bacterial small subunit ribosomal RNA
Source: RNAcentral